AUGAACUGCGAGCUCGAAACUUUCCCCCAAUCCGACGCCUGCGCAGACAAUAGAACCCGUCGCCUGUAUUCCGCCGCGUGCUUUUCCCUUUUUUCGUCCUCCCCGUCAGCCAUGGAAGGACAUUUGCGGGGAGGCGACGUCGCAGCCAUGCACGUGAAGACGGAAGACGUGGACGAGAACUCAUCUGCGCCGGUUGCGGGCAGCCGGGAGUCGCCUGCGUCCUGUGGAGAUGCCGCAUGCAGAGAAGGAGGGGUGGAACAGACUGCAGAGGAGCUGGCUGAGGCGGAGCUGCAGGCCGCCGCUACACCAACCCCCCUGCUGCUGUAUCCGACCAACGCGGACCGCUUCUUCACCACAUCUGCGGAUGGAAAAACAUACCUGAAGAUUUCCCCAACUGCAGUGAUGCCCUCUGCUACUUCUGAAAAGUUACUCUCCUCCGGCUCAGACUUUUCCUCCAAAGCUGUCCUUUGCCUCAUUGAGGCUGUCGGGCGCCGCUGGGGCCUCUACGAGACCCGGGAACGCUCGCAGCUCUUUCAGAGCGUCCAAGAAGAGAUGGCCUCUAAGGGACACAUCCUCCCCGUUGAAAAAAUCCGCCGCAAAUGGAACAACCUCAUCGUCACUUAUAAGAGGGUUAAAGACCGCAGCCGAGAGACGGGACACGCUAAGACGUCGUGGGAGUUCUUUGAUCUGAUGGAUGCCACCCUCUCUGACACUAUUGGCACACAGAUAAUCACUAACAAAAGACACAAAGGUGGGAACCACAUUUCCAGUCUGUCCUCUCCCAUAACGAAGCUCGCUUCGAAGCCCGUGCCGCUUCCUCAGCCGGGGGGCAUCAUCCACUCCAACAGUGACUUUGGUACAUCUGCUGCUGUGGAGUCUGUUGCUUUGGGACCCAUCGCCAGCCAGAUCAUGUCAAGCACCGCUGCUAGCUCGUCUAUGUGUGCAGCCACGGUUAGCCAGAUCAGUUCUCAAGACCUCAAGCCACUGAUUGUCCUCAAUGGCGACAUGGUUACCAGCAGUGUUCAGCCGGCGGCCAUCGUACCAGCUCCGCCGUUUAUCCCCCCGCCGUGUUUCACAGAAGCUACCUCUACGGCCCCGUCCCUCGGCUCAGCCAGCAGCGUGGAGCUCACCCCGUCUGGUUGUACAAGUCGCAAAUCCUCUACGUACACAUCCGGCGUCAUUCCUUUUCGCUUGAAUACGACGCCACUCGCCCACAGUCAGAGCAUGCUCGGGCUCCCGUCCCUCCCACUUACAUCCACGUCGUCCGUCCCCACCUCGUCGGCAUCGUCCAAUCCGGGAAGUGAAGGGAAGAGCCAGAAAGGGAACAAAGAUGCAAGCAAUAUCGCUUUGUUCCAAGAGGUCAUACAGCAACAGGAGGAGCAGGCUUACCUGGACCGGGUGGCCCGGCGCAGGAAUGAAGCCAGAGAGAAGAGGCGCGAGAGGCGGGAGGUCCGCAUGUCAGAGUCCCUGAGCAGAAUAGCCACGGCUUUGGAACUGCUUUCUUCAAAACAAGACACGGUCAUCGCUCUUCUCCAAAGGCUGGCUGACCGGAAGUAAAACUCCUCAGACUUUUGAUUCUUUUCUUGAAGACUGAAACUUUCUGAUGAAAACACACCUCAAGUUCUGCUUCUUUUAUUACAAGUUGUGCUUUGUUGAACUGAACAUUGAAUUAAAAAAUGAUCAAGUUAAAGUGUGAAUUAUUAAAG
Molecule: long non-coding RNA, 1706 nt
Organism: Oryzias javanicus (javanese ricefish)
Lineage: Eukaryota; Metazoa; Chordata; Actinopteri; Beloniformes; Adrianichthyidae
Source: Ensembl